AACGAACGCUGGCGGCAUGCCUAACACAUGCAAGUCGAACGAGAUCUUCGGGUCUAGUGGCGCACGGGUGCGUAACGCGUGGGAAUCUGCCCUGUGGUUCGGAAUAACAGUUGGAAACGACUGCUAAUACUGGAUGAUGACGAAAGUCCAAAGAUUUAUCGCCAGAGGAUGAGCCCGCGUAGGAUUAGCUAGUUGGUGUGGUAAAGGCGCACCAAGGCGACGAUCCUUAGCUGGUCUGAGAGGAUGAUCAGCCACACUGGGACUGAGACACGGCCCAGACUCCUAAGGGAGGCAGCAGUGGGGAAUAUUGGACAAUGGGCGAAAGCCUGAUCCAGCAAUGCCGCGUGAGUGAUGAAGGCCUUAGGGUUGUAAAGCUCUUUUACCCGGGAUGAUAAUGACAGUACCGGGAGAAUAAGCUCCGGCUAACUCCGUGCCAGCCGCCGCGGUAA
Molecule: ribosomal RNA, 449 nt
Filed under: uncultured bacterium
Lineage: Bacteria
Description: partial 16S ribosomal RNA
Rfam family: Bacterial small subunit ribosomal RNA
Source: RNAcentral